CCCUUAGAUGUUCUGGGCCGCACGCGCGCUACACUGACGAUGGCAACGAGUUUUUCCUUCGCCGAAAGGUGUGGGUAAUCUUUUGAAACAUCGUCGUGCUGGGGAUAGAUCAUUGCAAUUUUUGAUCUUGAACGAGGAAUUCCUAGUAAGCGCAAGUCAUCAACUUGCGUUGAUUACGUCCCUGCCCUUUGUACACACCGCCCGUCGCUACUACCGAUUGAAUGGUUUAGUGAGGCCUUCGGAUCCGCGACUCGUUUGUGGAGAAGUUGGACAAACUCAGUCAUUUAGAGGAAGUAAAAGUCGUAACA
RNAcentral lists this ribosomal RNA (308 nucleotides) under uncultured eukaryote. RNAcentral's name for it is "partial 18S ribosomal RNA". It matches the Rfam family "Eukaryotic small subunit ribosomal RNA", at positions 1470 to 1796 of the family's 1831-position model. The record is from RNAcentral.